AACCUGGUUGAUCCUGCCAGUAGUCAUAUGCUUGUCUUAAAGAUUAAGCCAUGCAUGUCUAAGUAUAAGCAUUUAUACCGCGAGACUGCGAACGGCUCAUUAAAACAGUUAUGGUUUAUUUGAUGGUUCCUUUGCUACUUGGAUAACCGUAGUAAUUCUAGAGCUAAUACAUGCACGAAGGGGCGACUUACGAAGCCCUGUAUUUAUUAGAUUAAAGCCAACCACCUCCGGGUGCUCGUGGUGAAUCAUAGUAACUUCUCGGAUCGCCGGCUCUACGCCAGCGACGUGUCAUUCAAAUUUCUGCCCUAUCAGCUUUAGAUGGUAGGAUAUGGGCCUACCAUGGCGGUGACGGGUAACGGAGAAUUAGGGUUCGAUUCCGGAGAGGGAGCCUGAGAAACGGCUACCACUUCUAAGGAAGGCAGCAGGCGCGCAAAUUACCCAAUCCUGACUCAGGGAGGUAGUGACAAGAAAUAACAAUAAACCGGCUUAUGCCGGUUUAAUUGGAAUGAGUACAAUUUAAACAUCUUAACGAGGAACAAUUGGAGGGCAAGUCUGGUGCCAGCAGCCGCGGUAAUUCCAGCUCCAAUAGCGUAUACUAAAGUUGUUGCAGUUAAAAAGCUCGUAGUUGGAUUUCUGCGGGGGCGGGGCGGCCGAUCGCCACUGGCGAGCCGAGCUAGCACUUCCCCCGCAUCCUGCCGCGAACCGUGCUACCAUUAGCUUGGUGGCGCCGGGGAUCGGCUCGUUUACUUUGAGAAAAAUAGAGUGUUCAAAGCACGCCACACGCCUUGAAUAAGUUAGCAUGGAAAUAAUGAUAAAGGACUUCGGUUCUAUUUUGUUGGUGUUCGGGACUGAAGUAAUGAUUGAUAGGGACAGUUGGGGCGGUCCGUAUUCCAAAGCGAGAGGUGAAAUUCUUAGACCUUCGGAAGACGAACAGCUGCGAAG
RNAcentral lists this ribosomal RNA (942 nucleotides) under uncultured eukaryote. Its description in RNAcentral is "bacterial SSU rRNA". It matches the Rfam family "Eukaryotic small subunit ribosomal RNA", at positions 1 to 950 of the family's 1831-position model. The record is from RNAcentral.